Molecule: non-coding RNA, 66 nt
Organism: Podarcis lilfordi (Lilford's wall lizard)
Lineage: Eukaryota; Metazoa; Chordata; Lepidosauria; Squamata; Lacertidae
Source: the annotation of a GenBank genome assembly
UAGGUUUGUUCUGGGUAUAAGCUUUUGUGUGCAUGCACACGGAAGCUUAUGCCCAGAACAAACUUA